ACAAAAACAAUGAAAUAUAUGUUUAUAUUUAAUUUAAUUUUUACUCAAAUUGUGAGUAAAUCUUAAUUUAUGGUGUUUUUCUGUGUUUUUGCAGAGGCAAGUACCAGUUACAUUUAGUUAUAUUUUGACUUUAAUUUAGUCACUAUGAUAUAUUUGUGUGUUAUGCAUGUCUUUCUAACAUUGUUGUAUGUUGACACAUUGAUAUAUGUUCAUUUAAGUUUUGAUUAAGAGUGAUUAGCCGAAUUAAUGACAAGGUCACUGGUUAUAAUUUUUUUUUCUCUCAAUACUUGGUCAAUCGUAGCAGUUUAUAGAAACUUGGGGUUCGUUAUAAAAGCCAUUUUGACACCAUGACUUUAUGGUCUGUGUUGCCAUUGUCAAUUGAAGCUUUUAAUUGCUCUUUACAGAGAUGAGUGCCUCUGGUGUGAAAAUAUAAGCAUUAACAGCAGGCUCUGCUGGGCUAGCAAUGGGACACUACUGAGUAAAAUCUUUGAAGAUACUACUGUUUAGCCAAGCAUGGUGGUGAACCUUGAGGCAGGAGAAUUGCUAUGAGUUUGAAGCCACAUAUUUUCAGAGCUGUCUGUGCAUUUCUCUCUUACAGAGUGUGACAGCGAUGACAGCAUGGGGGUGAAAGGCUCUCCAGUAGAGGAGCUCAGGGCCACGGAGGAUGUGGAAUUAGAAGAAGCUAUUAGAAGAAGUCUUGAGGAAAUGUAAUUAAAGAUAUUACCACACAACAUCAAGUGGCCUUGAAGAGACUCAGGAAAAUGAAUUCUUGACUUUGUUUUCUAAAAGAGACCAGAAAUCUACUAGGAUAAAUGUAUCAAAGCGUGUUUUAUUCUUUUCUAUGUUCAGAAUCUCGUAUUUGCUUUGUAUUUGUGCUGUUGUAAGAAAUGGAAGGGCAGAGUGCACACAGUGGAGACAUGAAGUGUGUUCUGACGGUGGGUCACGCUCCUCCAGCCGGCUUGGAAUCCAUGUGUUUAGGUCACAGUCAUUUUCUAGAAGGAAGGUCUGUGUAAACUUCUGCCUUUCCUUAGCGUUGCAACUUUUCCUGUGCUUUACAAAUGGCUCUGUUUUAUUUUUUUAGGAAUGAAAAUGAAUAUAAAUAAAAGGUGCCAUAACUCAGUUUUCC
Molecule: long non-coding RNA, 1126 nt
Filed under: Rattus norvegicus (Norway rat)
Lineage: Eukaryota; Metazoa; Chordata; Mammalia; Rodentia; Muridae
Description: long non-coding RNA NONRATT029300
Source: RNAcentral